Molecule: long non-coding RNA, 300 nt
Filed under: Carica papaya (papaya)
Lineage: Eukaryota; Viridiplantae; Streptophyta; Magnoliopsida; Brassicales; Caricaceae
Description: long non-coding RNA (CPAP_LNC008401)
Source: RNAcentral
AAAUCUCAAAAUUCUUUUGAUGAGCCCCUUCUCAAUUCCCAUUUCAUGUGAUUUUUUGAUCAUUGUGUUCACCAUCAUUUUCUAUGUAGGUUAGUCAAAGAAAGAACCUCAGCCACAAAGGAGGACAGGCAGAGCCGCUGCACCUAGAGGUUCCUGCUGUUGAUGUGUUUAGUUUUUAUUUGAUUUUUCAGCCAGAGGAGGCUUCUAACGUAUUUUUCUGCAGGGAUAUGGCCAAAACUGGCCAAAAUCGACUAAAACUGGCCAGAUUGAGGCGAACUGCUACCGACACCGUACCGGAAC